UUUUUUUUUUUUUUAAUUACUGGAGGUUAAGUAGCCUGAGAUUAGGCUGGUUAGGGAGGUUGGUACACUGUGCUGUCACAUCGGGUCUACGGCUGUUUUCAUCUGAAAACCACAGGGUGGAGUUUCAGCAGAGAUCUCAUGGCCUAAUCAGCCUAAAACUUUUAUCUGGCCCUUUACAGAGUAAGUUUGCCAACCCCCAGUCUGUUGUAAUCAAAACAUAUCUUAAAUAGGAGCUAUUUCCUACUUUAAACCAAUAUGACACAGUCCUUUGGGGAGCAGUUUAUCUUACAUGGCAGAAGAGUCUUAGGACUCUGCAUUCCCUCAUACGGUUUUUAUUAAAAUAAGUGAGUUUUAUCUACUACAACUAAACUAUUUUGGAGUUCCUGUCAUGGCUCAGCGGUUAACAAACCUAACAGGCAUCCAUGAGGAUGAGGGUUCAAUCCCUGGCCUCACUCAGUGGAUUAAUGAUCCAGCGCUGCUGUGAGCUGUGGCAUGGGUCGAAGAUGCAGCUCGGAUCUCGCGUGGCUGUGCCUGUGGUGUAGGCCGGCAGCUCCAGCUCCAGUUAGACCUCUAGCCUGGGAACCUCCAUAUGCCUUGGGUGCAGCCCUGAAGAGACAAAAAGACAAAAGGCAACUCUUUAUUGAAUUUGUUACCCACAAUAGGAUAAUAACUUCUGAGGUUAAAAACAUUCUCUUAGUUUCAGGACACUAUGAUGGGUUUUCAUGAAAAUUAGUCUCUCUCUAGUUCUCUCCAUUGUUAUAAAAUGGCCAGUUUUUUAUAAUAAAUUGUGAGAGAAAUGUACCUAGAAGGAAAAAAGGGGAGAUGUUUAGGAAGAGCUAGGUUUACUCCUGGGCUGAACGUUGCUCGCCUCAUCCUUGCCCCUUGCAAAGCAGCACGGUCAGUGGCUGUCCUCGUUCUCGAGAAACUCUGCCUCCGGGCGGAACCUGACUUGGCCUUGGAGGGACAGCACAGGCGCAGCUCCCGUGGCUCUGGUUCAGGACUCAGACCAGGAGCCCGACGUCCAUGCAGUGCGUAGGCUUCUGUGCCAUUUUAUUGCACAGUUUCCUGUAACCACCUUGAUUUUGAAGGUGCAGAGCUAGUUCCUCCAACAAAGACGGUUGAUGUCAACAUUUUACCAGUUUGGGUAAAGGAGGAGAAGUCGACCGUAUCUCCCCAUAUUUUUGCUCUUUCCAUUAUUCUUCCAUCCUGAUGUUCCAAGACUUUUUUUUUUUUUACGUUUCCUUUGUGUUUUGAGAACUUCCUUUAGUCAUUCUUUUAGGGUUGGCUUAUCCAAGCACAUUCUUUUGGUUUUCCAUCUUCUGGCGUCUUUCGUUUCCCUUCAUUCCUGAAGGACGAUUUCACCAGAUACAGAAUCCAGAGUUGAUAGUUAUUUUCGUGCUUGAAAUUUGGGGCCAUUUUUCUGGCCUCCACGCGUCCUGAGGAGGAAUCUGUCAUCUGAAGUGUCUUUCCGAGGUAGGUAAGGUGGUAUUUCUUACUGCUUGCAAGCUGUUUUCUUUGCCUUUAGCUUUCAGAAGUUUGUCUUAUCAUAGAUUUCGUCAGGUUUAUGCUGUUUGUAGUUCACUCAAGCUUCGUAAAUAUAAACGUUUAUGUCUUUUGCCAGAUUGGGAAACAUGUCAGCCCUUUUGCUUUCAAAGGCUUUUUCAGGCCGGCCUUUCUCUCCUGGAGUCUGAUGGCACCAGCGCUCCAUCUUUUUGUUACAGGCCCAGAGGUAACUCCUUUCGGCCUGUCUUCUCUCUGCUCCGUUUGGGUCAUUUCUGUUUUAGCUUCAGGUUCCCAGGCUAGGGGUCGAAUCGGAGCUGUAGCCACCGGCCUACGCCAGAGCCACAGCAACGCGGGAUCUGAGCCGCGUCUGCCACCUACACCACAGCUCACAGCAAUGCCGGAUCGUUAACCCACUGAGCAAGGGCAGGGACCGAACCCGCAAUCUCAUGGUUCCUAGUCGGAUUCGCCAACCACUGCGCCACGACGGGAACUCCUCGGAUCAUCUUUGAAUCUUCUGCGUUACCACCGCACUGGUGGGCAGGGUGGGGGCACGGACGCUGCCCCUCGCCGCUACCCGCUGAGGUUCACCACCUGCCCUGCUUGGCCGCCUCGGGGAGGGGGCUCUAGUCUGUUUCCCACCGGGGAACGUGGGCUCCAGUGACACCGUGGGGCUGAGAGGGCUCGUCCUGCCAGAUGGGGGUGGGGUAUCAUCUGCCAGCUCCGCCCUGGGCCUGCCCUGCCGCGGCGCCAGCAGAGGACGGGGCAGGAGGGGGAGGCCUCCUGCCAGCCAUGGACAGAGGAGGUCCCGGCUCCCCCCUUGGCCUUUGCCGACGGGCUGGGGUCUGUGCGGGAGCUCUUGGCCUUUUUCCGCUCCCUCUUCUCUGGUCUUUGGUUGAAAGUGCAGACUUGGCUGUUGUCGUCUCUCCUCGUCACUGGGCUGCUGGCUCCACCAGCGCCUAGACUGGGACACCUGAGAGACAGGAACACCCAGGGAAUUCUCCGCUGGGUCAUCUCUCGGGUCCCGAGGUCCUUGAUCCGUCCGGCUGCUUCUCCUUUUUCAGACUGUUUAUGUGAUACGCGUCCAGGGUCUUGGCUGUGCUUGGUGGGAGGAACAGGGGAUGGUGUCCUCUCCAUCUUGUCCCUCCCGGGGGACAGGGCAAGAGUUAGCAGCUCUGGCUUCGCGACUUGAGCAAAUUAGUAAACACACCUCAGAUUAUGAGCGCCAGGUUUCUCUCUGUUGGAGGAGUGACAGGAAAAGGAGGAAGUUUCCGUGUGUGUGUGUGUGUGCACGCACGCGCACAUGCUAACACCAGACCACUGAAUGUAGUUUAAAAUUUCCUAGGAUUCCUUUGUGCCUAAGGAUAUAUCCCUCCAAGGAUGCUGAGUCAGAACUGUUUCAGAGUUCCCUGGUGGCUCAGUGGGCAUGCAGCCAAAAAAGAGAAAACUUAUGGGAGCUCCCACUGUGGUUCAUGAGGUAGAGAACCUGACAUAGUGUCUUUGAGAAAGUGGUUGGAUCCCUGGCCUCACUCAGUGGCUUAAGGAUCUGGCACUGCCACAAACUAUGGUGUAGAUCACAGAUGCGGCUCGGCUCCUGCGUUGCUGUGGCUGUGCUGUAGGCCGGCAGCUGCAGCUCCCGUUGGACCUCUAGCCCGGGGACUGGGAACUGCCAUAUGCCACAGGAGUGGCUGUAAAAAGAAAAAUUACGCAAAAACAGAACAUCUUUCCUCAGCUGCUGCUAAGGUGCUCCGUCCUCCCGAGAAAGCUAAGGUCUCAUUGGGGUCGCUCACUUAACCAGCUACUAGCACCGUGCCCGGCAGCCCCCACCUGGCCUGCGUCUGCACCGCGGCCUCCGUCCCGGAGCUCGUCUGCAUCUGCUCUGCCCUCAUCCUGCGUGAAGACAAGGUGACAGUCACGGAGGAGGAGCUCCAGGCCCUCAUUAAAGCAGCAGGUGUAAAUGCUGAGCCGUCCAGGCCAGGCGGGUCUGCAAAGCUCGGGAGCCUCAUCUGCAAUGGGGGGGGCUGGUGGACCUGCCCCAGCAGCUGGUGCUGCAUCAACAGGAGGUCCUGCCCCGGCCACCACCACUGCCCCAACUGAGGAGAAGGAAGCAGAAGCAAAGAACGAAGAAUAUGAGGAGUCUGACAUGACAUGCGCUUUGGUCUUUUUGACUAAACUUCUAUAACCUAUUCAAUAAUAAAAACCCGAGCUCUUGAAAAAAAAAAAAAAAAA
This 3729-nucleotide long non-coding RNA is filed under the name Sus scrofa (pig). Its description in RNAcentral is "lncRNA (ENSSSCG00055006250.1)". Lineage: Eukaryota; Metazoa; Chordata; Mammalia; Artiodactyla; Suidae. The record is from RNAcentral.